RNAcentral lists this long non-coding RNA (431 nucleotides) under Gossypium raimondii (Peruvian cotton). Its description in RNAcentral is "long non-coding RNA (GRAI_LNC009846)". The record is from RNAcentral. Lineage: Eukaryota; Viridiplantae; Streptophyta; Magnoliopsida; Malvales; Malvaceae.
GAACGGAUUGGACGUCACCACUUGCCUUAUUGAAAUCUCAAUUCCACAAACAACUAAUCUAAGAACUCAAUUGAUUUAAUUUGAAAGUCACAGAAAACAUACCAAAAGACGACACUUACGUCAAACUCCUAUUAGACGAAAAUGUGAGGCAAUGACAUGUGAAAUCGGAAAGAACAAACUACAAUGAUUCCCAACAACAAAACCACCAAGAAAACGAAAGGGAGGAGGAGAAGAUAAAAAGAAAUAUAAACGUGCUAGAGAAGGAGAAAAGAACGUGUUUAAAAUUUUUUUUUAAUUCACUAACUAAAAUAAGAUAAAUAAAUACAUAAAAUAAAAACAAAAAAAACACAAAUAACUAAAAUAAAAUAAAUCCCAUAAACACACACAAAGAUUCGAACCCAGAGGUAAAUUAACACACAACAAACUACCAG